CGGACGGGUGAGUAAUACAUAGGAAUCUGCCCAGUAGCGGGGGACAACUUGGGGAAACUCAAACUAAUACCGCAUACGCCCUACGGGGGAAAGCGGGGGACCUUCGGGCCUCGCACUAUUGGAUGAGCCUAUGUCAGAUUAGCUUGUUGGUGGGGUAAUGGCCUACCAAGGCGACGAUCUGUAGCUGGUCUGAGAGGACGAUCAGCCACACUGGGACUGAGACACGGCCCAG
RNAcentral lists this ribosomal RNA (232 nucleotides) under uncultured bacterium. RNAcentral describes it as "partial 16S ribosomal RNA". It matches the Rfam family "Bacterial small subunit ribosomal RNA", at positions 99 to 334 of the family's 1533-position model. The record is from RNAcentral.